This 693-nucleotide long non-coding RNA is filed under the name Phoenix dactylifera (date palm). RNAcentral describes it as "long non-coding RNA (PDAC_LNC013677)". Lineage: Eukaryota; Viridiplantae; Streptophyta; Magnoliopsida; Arecales; Arecaceae. The record is from RNAcentral.
UUCAAGCUUAGAAAUGGGGGUGCGAGAAACCAUAGGUUAGAUCUAGGCAUAGGACUUAUUGAGCAAGGGAUGACUAGGAACUAGGAGGGUAGGUGUGCCAACGAGAGGGUGGAGUGGAAGUGGGGCAAUAGAGUAGGUCAUGGAAUGGACCAAAAUGGGUGCCGACUUUGGCUUCAAAGGAAUGGAAAUGUGAUGAUGCUGGCUCAAGGAGGGCCUUGAUGUCAUAGAAGCAGUGGGCGCGAGCAACAUGACAAAUGGCAAGGUUGUUAGGACCUCAAGCCAGAUAAGGGUCAUCAAAUGGGCUAGUAAUGGACGAGAGGAUGGAGAUUGGGUCGUUAUUGUCAUUCCAAUUUUCAAUAACUAAUCUCUAACAUUUUUGAAUGGCAUGUGAUGGCAAGAGCAGAUAUAUAACAAGAAAACUUUUUAGGGCGCGUCUUUUGGUGGAAAAGUUGGUCAACUUUUUCAUUGACCAAGUUACCUAUAUUCUCAUGCUUUUCUAGGUGGGUAAGAUAUUUUUCCUUGGAAAUUGGAGGAAAGUCUUACCCACUUGAGAUGUGGGUAGGUCAUUUUUCCAUCAACUGUUAAAUAACCUUUUUAUUUUGUUCCUAAAAUACCCAUAACCCUAAUAUUAUAUUAUAUUACGUGUACUAUAUACAAUAAUAAUAUUAUAUAUUAUAAAUAAUCAUUAUAUUU